RNAcentral lists this long non-coding RNA (3266 nucleotides) under Pongo abelii (Sumatran orangutan). Its description in RNAcentral is "lincRNA". Lineage: Eukaryota; Metazoa; Chordata; Mammalia; Primates; Hominidae. The record is from RNAcentral.
AUGAAAAGACCAUGCACACUGGAGCAGGACAGUUGCAAUUUUGGCUUCCCUCUCUCCUGACUCUGGGAUCUUGAGUAAAUUACUCCAAGUCCUUAAGCCUCUGUUUCCACAUCUGGAAACUGAACAUAGUAACACCGACCUCUCAGAGUUGUUGGGACAAUUAAUCAGGAACAUAUGUGGAAGCACAGUGCCAGGGACAAGGCAUUCAUGUGAUAAACAGUGAUGUCUUUCCUUCCUUUCCCACCCCUUUUCUUCUUCCCUGCAGAGACACUCAAACUGGGAUUCUGGUCAUGGCCAGGUGACUGCCAUGAGGACAGAGCCAUCUGGCGUUAGUUCCUGGAUGAAAGCUGUACAGGAAGCAUGGUGCCAGCAUCUGCUUCUGCUAAGGGGUUCAGGCUGCUUCCGCUCAUGGCAGAAGGCGCAGGGGAGCCGGCAAGUCACAUGGUGAGAGAGGAAGCAAGAGAGAGAGGAGGAGAUGCCAGGCUCUUUUUAACAAUCAGUUCUCAUGGGAACUCAGAAGAGCGAGAACUCAUUCAUUACUGCAAGGAUGACUCCAAGCCAUUCAUGAGGGACCAGAUUCCAUGACCCAAACACCGCCCACCAGGCCCCAUCUCUCACACUGGGGAUCACAUUUCAACAUGAGACUUGGAUGGGACAAACAUCCAAACUGUAUCAGACAUCAUCUCACGAAUCCACAAAUUUAGCUGCUUUUCUUUCUUUUCUGUAGUUUCACAACCUACUAUAGAAGCAUUUUCUAGAAGGGCCUGCAGAAGUGAAUUUCCUCUUCCUUGGCCUCGAUGUACCUGGCUGAACUUACUGCCAACAGCACUGCAACUCACGUUGAAGGCAGCUCAUCCGGCACAGGUAUUGUCUCCACAGGCAGAUCGCAGCCUCCUGCACUCAGAGACGGUAGACAGCACUUCAGCACCAUGCCUGGGGGCAUUUUAAACAGCAAAAUCACCAACAAAAGUACAAAAAUGCAAAAGCAUGGCUCUGGAUAGACAGCAGGAAGGACCACUUGUUUAUAGUGUGAGCUAGGACAAGAAGGCAGAGGGGUCACCUUGCUUCACCUCAGCUGGGAACAGGUGCCUUGGACUACUCAGAUUUUUUCCCUGCUCUGUACAAGUCUGUGAAUCACUGUGAAGCCACAAGUAUUGAUUUGGUUUACAAAUACAUUUUAGUGAAGAGGUGAAUUUGCAGGUAUGGGAUCCAGAAAUAAUGAGAUCGGACUGUAAGUCUGGAGACGAAGAUGGAGAGGCUGCUGCCAAGUAAAAGGCUGCCUCUUGUCCCAGAAGCUGUGGACUGCCACUGGAGUGUUUCAAGCAAGGGAGGUGGCUUGAUCUGUGUUGUAGGAACAGCACCUUUUCUCAACUUAAAGUGUGGCUUCAAGAGAGGAAGACAGGAGACUGAUUAGGAGAUGGAUGUAUCCAGGGGAGGAUGAGGGUGGGUGAACGGAGCCAGGGGUAGAGGUCCUCAGGGGAGCUGACCUGAGAGCCCUGUGAGUCUCGGGUCCUGGCAAUGGGGCGGCGGUGAGUGGUGAGGGGGAGGCAUUGAGGACAGCGCCCGGGGUCCCCGGCUGGGGCACAUGCUGGAGUGUAGGGCAGUGGUCCAAGGCCCUAGCCUUGGAGUCAGACACCCCUGAUUUUAAAUCCAGUCUCCACCACUGGCAGGCUGUGUGGCUUAGACAUGCUCCUCCACUUCCCUAAGCCUAGUUGUUUCAUCUCUAGUAUAAAGAUUCCAUGUGGCAGGAAGAACACACCCCCGGGAGUGAUUCUGAGAUUGAAAUGAGUGCUGGUGCUUUUCACCUAAACAAGGAAAACGGGGAGAGAAGCAGUAUGUGGGGUGGGAGGGAGAAGGAGAGGAGUCUGGGCGUGGGGAGUCGGACGUGCCUGGGGACACUGCUGGACAAAUAUCCUGAGGCCGUCUGAUGUUUUCCUGGGGCCAUGGGAGGGGAAGCUGGGGCGGAGACACAGACUUGGGCAUUACCAGCAGGCAGGAGGCUGCUACCGCCAUGAAGAGCGGGCAGUGCCAGGAUCAGAGGGCCGGGGUAAAGCCUGCAUUGUUCCCACAUUUCAGAAGAGGCUGGGCAGGAGGUCAAGGAAGAGCAGCAGGAGGAGGAGAAAGCAGCAGGGUGUGGAGGGACGGGAGGGGAGGAGGAAUUCCAGGAGGGAGUGGCCGGGGUGACUGUUCUGAAAGCAUGGACUGGAAGCCACAGCACAUGUGGGCUGCAAGGAACCCGAGAGAUCUUUUAGUCUAAUCCUCUUUUAGUCUCCAUCCCCGUCCGGAUGAAGACAUCGAGAUUCAAAAGCAAAGUCAGUUGUACUGUGACUUCAUAGCAGGAUACCCUAACUCCUAAUUCAUAACAAAACUACAGACAUUCUCAAUUCAAAAUUCUUCCUAUUUAGUCACACUGGACUUUCUCCCAAUGUGACAAAAUUAUUGAGAUUUUAUUGACUUACUGAACAACUGUGGUCUUUGCCAUGUACUAAGAUGCUGUGUAGUCAAACUGUGCCUCCGAAAUCUAUUUUUAUUGUACAUUUAACAAAUUUUGCUGUAAACAAGUUUAAAAACAAUAGUCAUAACCCAUUAAACUGUAUCUUUUAAUUUUAAUGUUAUUAUACCUCAAUGAAGCUCAGUUUUAAAAAACAGUGAAUAAAAAGUUGAGCUAUUAAAACUAAAAAGUAAUUAUUUGCUGAUUUGUAUACAGAGACCCAAGCAAUAGAAAUAUAGGAAUAUUUGGAACUUGCUCCUUCUUACAGCCUUGAGGGAACCGCUUAUCCCUUAUUACAUCUUGGUUUCCCUCAAUGAAACCAGAAAAUAUCAUCUUGCAAGACUGCUCAUAGCUAAUUAAUAUGUAUGAAGCUCUUGAAUCUAAAUAUUAAAUACUUGAUGAUAUUGUCUGAUAAAUAUUAUCUAACUGCAUUUAUAAAUACUAGCAUUUUUACAGCCUAGUUGUAAUUACAAAGUAUAGCCCAUUUAAAAUGUAUACAAAUAUAUGCAUAUAUAUUUUUCCUAUGAAAGUAGGAAAAGAAAGUCGAAAUUAUGCAAGAACAAAGUAGAAAAAUAUGCCUCUCCUAUAAGAUUGAGUGUUUCCAUUGAUCAAUACAAUUUUUAAAAUGUUGUGAUAAUUCUUUUUUUCACUUAAUUGGUUAUGUCAUUUGCACUCUACCUAACUGAGAUAUUAAUAAAUUGUAUAUGAUGUAAAUAACAGGAAACAAAAAGAACUGCUGGCCUUAUUCAUAGUUAAUAAAGAGAACCAGAUGAUG